Long non-coding RNA from Lingula anatina, 428 nucleotides. RefSeq lists it as uncharacterized. The record is from RefSeq and is a predicted model, not a curated record. NCBI's taxonomy places the organism in Eukaryota, Metazoa, Brachiopoda, Lingulata, Lingulida, Lingulidae.
GUUAUUAGCAUACACCACUCAUAUUGACGUGGAAAUCGUGAUUGUAUAGACGCCAAGCAGGAUGCGCUCUCUUGCCGUUUUGGUUCUUGUGACUUGUCUUAUGUCCCUGGCAGCAGCUAAACCUGAUAGAGUGGCCUGUUUGGUCUGCAAAAAUGGGAAUCUAAAGGAAAUACGAAGACCUCAGUGCUAUAACAUCAUAAGUCCAUGUGACGAGAGGAUCUUUACUUGUGCAACGGGAUACGAGUGCAUUGUUGGCUGCGACUGCACUGCAAUCUGCACCAAAGACAAUGAAUGCAUCUAAUGCAGCAAGAGGCACAUGAAUUGAACGACGAUGGUCUAGGUCUCCUACAGAUAUGCAAUUUUAAAAUGCAAUCUUUAUAGUUAAGCCUUACAUUAAUAAAGUGGCAUUUGGCCAAAUUUAUCCGUGA